This 253-nucleotide ribosomal RNA is filed under the name uncultured bacterium. RNAcentral's name for it is "partial 16S ribosomal RNA". It matches the Rfam family "Bacterial small subunit ribosomal RNA", at positions 524 to 776 of the family's 1533-position model. The record is from RNAcentral.
UACAGAGGUCUCAAGCGUUGUUCGGAUUCAUUGGGCGUAAAGGGUGCGUAGGCGGCGCGGUAAGUCGGGUGUGAAAUCUCGGAGCUUAACUCCGAAACUGCAUUCGAUACUGCCGUGCUUGAGGACUGGAGAGGAGACUGGAAUUUACGGUGUAGCGGUGAAAUGCGUAGAUAUCGUAAGGAAGACCAGUGGCGAAGGCGGGUCUCUGGGCCGAUAUCGACGCUGAGGAGCGAAAGCGUGGGGAGCGAACAGG